AUUGAACGCUGGCGGCAUGCUUUACACAUGCCAGUCGAACGGCAGCGCGGGGCAACCUGGCGGCGAGUGGCGAACGGGUGAGUAAUAUAUCGGAACGUACCCAAGAGUGGGGGAUAACGUAGCGAAAGUUACGCUAAUACCGCAUACGAUCUAAGGAUGAAAGUGGGGGAUCGCAAGACCUCAUGCUCCUGGAGCGGCCGAUAUCUGAUUAGCUAGUUGGUGAGGUAAAGGCUCACCAAGGCGACGAUCAGUAGCUGGUCUGAGAGGACGACCAGCCACACUGGAACUGAGACACGGUCCAGACUCCUACGGGAGGCAGCAGUGGGGAAUUUUGGACAAUGGGCGCAAGCCUGAUCCAGCAAUGCCGCGUGAGUGAAGAAGGCCUUCGGGUUGUAAAGCUCUUUUGUCAGGGAAGAAACGGUAGAGGCUAAUAUCCUUUGCUAAUGACGGUACCUGAAGAAUAAGCACCGGCUAACUACGUG
RNAcentral lists this ribosomal RNA (482 nucleotides) under uncultured bacterium. RNAcentral describes it as "partial 16S ribosomal RNA". It matches the Rfam family "Bacterial small subunit ribosomal RNA", at positions 30 to 507 of the family's 1533-position model. The record is from RNAcentral.